AUUGAACGCUGGCGGAAUGCUUUACACAUGCAAGUCGAGCGGCAGCGCGGGGCAACCUGGCGGCGAGCGGCGAACGGGUGAGUAAUACAUCGGAACGUGCCCAGACGUGGGGGAUAACUACUCGAAAGAGUGGCUAAUACCGCAUACGAUCUACGGAUGAAAGCGGGGGAGUCGCAAGACCUCGCGCGUCUGGAGCGGCUGAUGGCAGAUUAGGUAGUUGGUGGGAUAAAAGCCUACCAAGCCAACGAUCUGUAGCUGGUCUGAGAGGAUGAUCAGCCACACUGGGACUGAGACACGGCCCAGACUCCUACGGGAGGCAGCAGUGGGGGAAUUUUGGACAAUGGGCGAAAGACCUGAUCCAGCCAUUCCGCGUGCAGGAUGAAGGCCCU
Molecule: ribosomal RNA, 389 nt
Filed under: uncultured bacterium
Lineage: Bacteria
Description: bacterial SSU rRNA
Rfam family: Bacterial small subunit ribosomal RNA
Source: RNAcentral